RNAcentral lists this ribosomal RNA (798 nucleotides) under uncultured Bacteroidota bacterium. Its description in RNAcentral is "bacterial SSU rRNA". It matches the Rfam family "Bacterial small subunit ribosomal RNA", at positions 1 to 799 of the family's 1533-position model. The record is from RNAcentral. Lineage: Bacteria; Pseudomonadati; Bacteroidota.
AGGAGAGUUUGAUCCUGGCUCAGGAUGAACGCUAGCGGCAGGCUUAACACAUGCAAGUCGAGGGGCAGCGAGGGUAGCAAUACCUGUCGGCGACCGGCGGAAGGGUGCGUAACGCGUGAGCAACUUGCCCGUAUCAGGGGGAUAGUCAUUGGAAACGAUGCGUAAUACCCCAUAACAACAGAGGCUGCAUGACCUUUGUUUGAAAGAUUCGUCGGAUACGGAUAGGCUCGCGAGACAUUAGCUAGUUGGCGGGGUAACGGCCCACCAAGGCGACGAUGUCUAGGGGUUCUGAGAGGAAGGUCCCCCACAUUGGAACUGAGACACGGUCCAAACUCCUACGGGAGGCAGCAGUGAGGAAUAUUGGUCAAUGGCCGGAAGGCUGAACCAGCCAUGCCGCGUGAAGGAAGACGGCCCUAUGGGUUGUAAACUUCUUUUGUGGUGGAGCAAUAAGACGUACGCGUACGUCGAUGAGAGUACAUCACGAAUAAGCAUCGGCUAACUCCGUGCCAGCAGCCGCGGUAAUACGGAGGAUGCAAGCGUUAUCCGGAUUUAUUGGGUUUAAAGGGUGCGUAGGCUGUUCGUCAAGUCAGAGGUGAAAUACCACAGCUUAACUGUGGAACUGCCUUUGAUACUGGCGAGCUGGAAUACGGAUGCCGUGGGAGGAAUGAGUAGUGUAGCGGUGAAAUGCAUAGAUAUUACUCAGAACACCGAUUGCGAAGGCAUCUCACGAAUCCGUCAUUGACGCUGAGGCACGAAAGCGUGGGGAUCAAACAGGAUUAGAUACCCUGGUAGUCCCCU